Pistacia vera is the source of this 108-nucleotide small nucleolar RNA. Lineage: Eukaryota; Viridiplantae; Streptophyta; Magnoliopsida; Sapindales; Anacardiaceae. The record is from RefSeq and is a predicted model, not a curated record.
UAAUAAUGAUGAGGACAUUGGAUGAGAAGCAACUUAAAUCUAUCCCAUGCCUAAUGAAAAUGCUCUCCUUCCAUUUGAGAAAACGUUGUAAUCUUGGUCCUUAAGUCA